GAUGAACGCUGGCGGCGCGCCUAACACAUGCAAGUCGAACGAGUAAGACGCCUUCGGGCGUGGAUAGAGUGGCGAACGGGUGAGUAACACGUGACCAACCUGCCCCCUCCUCCGGGACAACCUCGGGAAACCGAGGCUAAUACCGGAUACUCCGGGCCCCCCGCAUGGGGGGCCCGGGAAAGCCCUGGCGGGAGGGGAUGGGGUCGCGGCCCAUCAGGUGGACGGCGGGGUAACGGCCCACCGUGCCUGCAACGGGUAGCCGGGCUGAGAGGCCGAUCGGCCACAUUGGGACUGAGACACGGCCCAGACUCCUACGGGAGGCAGCAGUGGGGAAUUUUGCGCAAUGGGGGCAACCCUGACGCAGCGACGCCGCGUGCGGGACGAAGUCAUUCGUGACGUAAACCGCUUUCAGCGAGGAAGAACC
This 424-nucleotide ribosomal RNA is filed under the name uncultured bacterium. Its description in RNAcentral is "bacterial SSU rRNA". It matches the Rfam family "Bacterial small subunit ribosomal RNA", at positions 28 to 451 of the family's 1533-position model. The record is from RNAcentral.